Molecule: long non-coding RNA, 3842 nt
Organism: Cavia porcellus (domestic guinea pig)
Lineage: Eukaryota; Metazoa; Chordata; Mammalia; Rodentia; Caviidae
Exons: 3
Source: RefSeq, a predicted model, not a curated record
GGCCAACAAAAUGCCUGACUUUCUAUAGCAAUUCCCAUAAACCUUCAUAAUCACUUAACUGCAGUCAUCCUAGAGCACAUGCUUAGAAACACACCUGGAUCCAUCUGCCUGGGAGUUCUUCGGAGUCCAUUGGUUCGUUUCUGUGCAGAAAGACCAUUUCUGACCUUUUGACAGAGGUAAGAGACAAUGCUGUCUCUUUCACUUCACAAUGCUGAGGAAGGUGCAGAAGCAGGCUGACCCCGUCAGUAUUGGGAAGGACUGUUCCGACGAUGGAAGGAAGGAACUGACAUGGAAAGAUGCUGCAGCACCAGGCAGGCAAAGCACAACGCAGUUUGCUCCAUUGCCAUCCUAGCAUGUUAAUUAUGCUGCUGACUCUUUCAAAGGAUAAAGAAAAUGUAAAAUCAAACAGGAUGUUUCUGAAGGACAUCUUCACUUACUUCUAAGGAUCCAAAAAGGAACACCAACAACAAAAGGAUUUCUAAAUCACAAUCAAAUUUUAUUCCAAAUCACAUAAUCUUUUGCCUAGGAAAAUGAAUAAAGACUUUUUAAAAACACAAAUAAAAAUAAGAUAAUGCAAAGCCUUGAAAAACAGUAUUUUAUCUAUUAUAUAUCCUAAUUAUUUUAUUCAUCUUUGAUUUUAUGGUAAUUUUAAACAUACAUUCAUCAUUGCUUUUCAGUGACAAUGCAAGGAAAGUAUUGAAUGAGAGGCAAAAUCAGUUAAAUCUAUAAUCCAUUGCAGUGGCAAAGUCAAACUAUGCAUAAUUUGAGUCCACAUUUGUUACAAACUUGAUGUGUGGCUUUUGGCAUGUAACACUGUCCUUCUAUUUUUAGUUUCUGCAUCAAAAAAGUAAAUAUUUCAUUCCUGCUGUAAAAGGCCAACAUCCAAGAGUGGGAAAGGAAUAAGUCCCAUUUAUUGGUAUCUGGUUUAUCCAAAAUAUAUAUGGACACUUUACUAGAUAUCUUUUAUUGACAAAACAGUGAAAACCACUACAUAAAUGCUAGAAGAGAUUUCUAUUAUUCUUGCCAUCAUAAAUGACAAACAUUUAGUAGAAAAGUUAGAGACCUCUUAAGUGUAUAGUACUAUAAAUGAUGACCUUCCCAUCACUAUACUUUGAAUCAUGGGAAAUAAAGGUUUUUUGAACAAACACUUAAUAAGCAUAUUAAAUCUUCUCUUUGAUUAUGAUACACUUUAGUAGCACAUUCAGCAAAGUAAGUAUCUAUUAAUGGGCCAGGCAUUGUCUAACACUGGAAAUACAAUGGUGUACUUGUCAUGGAUAUCCACAGUGUGGACUAUAUUAUUUCAACUCUUACAGCAAAAUACAUUGUUCAUUCUUUUGUCAUUUAGUUAGAAGGCAGGGUAUUUUCACAGUUUAAACUGCAACAUAUUUCAAAGAAAGAAUUCUAGAGAAUUCGGAUUUUCUCAUUCUCUGACCCAACAUGAUUUAUAAGUAAUAUAAUUCAAAUGCUGAAUACAAUAUGAAUUAGGAAAUGCUGAGUAGACACAAUAAAUUUAAGUUGGCAUAGCACAUUUUAAAUUUUACUGAUAACAGAAAGUUUGCUGUUGAAUUAGCAAGUUUAAGAAGCAUACAAAUACAAAGAUGAGGAGCCAGGGAUAUAACUCAGUGCCACAAUACCUGCCUGGCAAGUGCAAGGUCAGGAGUUCAAUCCUUGGUACAAAAAAAAUAGAAAAAAAAAAAAUCUAGAGAAACGACGAUGAUGUUACAGCACAAUACUAAGAAACAAGAAAAUCUGACGGGUAAUCUGAAAAAGUUGGCAAGGACUUCUCUACAAAUUCUGUAAUUAUGUAUUUAGAAGUUUUUCUGAUCAACAUUUGUAUGAGUCCACUUUAUACCUGAGUUCAUGGCAAAAGCUCAUAAAUCACUGAGCAAGAUUUCCAUAAAUUUGACAUCACUAGAGCCACUAUCAUCUGUCAGUACCAAAAAUCACUCUUUUAAAAAGCAGAAACUUUAAAAUGUUAAAUAUAGUUAUUAAAGGAAAAGGCACAUUAAUAGUGAACAUUACUGUGACUGAACAACAAUAAAUAUUUUUAAGUGUUGUAAUAUCCUAGACCCAGUAGGACUCACAGGUUCAAAAACACCUGUCCUCUAUGGCUCGCCAGAAAGUUGAAGAGACCAGCACACACUCAUCAGCAAUCUGUGAGGAAGGCGAAACCUGAGCAGGCCUUGGAGAGCCCUGGCCAGCAGCUGCAGCACUGCUCUGGACAGUGGGGACCAAUACACAAGAAGCAGAGAUAAGGAGAGACAGAUAGCUGUCCUGUCCUGGGAGCACAUGGGACUGACGUGUCACACUGGAAACUUGUAUCAGCAUAAAGAGAAGGUCCACGGCUCAGAGGGAUGAGCCGGCCGAACACAGACUUGUUCAGGGGGAAACAGCUCGCAGCAAAUGUCCACAGUUCUAAGGUUGAAAAGAGUAUGAUUGGGCUCAUGAUUCGAAUACAAGAUACUAAAAUGGGACCAGGCAUAGCAGUGUACACCUGUAAUCCCAGCACUUGGGAGCCUGAGGCCAUGACUUUGAGGUCAGCCGGCACUACAAAGUGAGUUCAAAGCCCAUGUAAACUACACAGCAACAUUUUGUUUCAAAAAAGAAAAAAAAAUUGAAAUAGGACCUGAGAAAACAGGCAUUUAUGAAAUAAAAUAAAAUUGAUUAGCUUUAUAAAAAAAUAAAUAGAUCUCAAUAGGUACAGGGGUUCUCAGAGGACAGAAUGGGCUGCUAAGGGCUUGUUAAUGAGAACCAGUGGCCCGCUACCUCAACCAAGGCAUGUGGGAAGAGCUCAGUGUUCGAGCUGAAAGGAAAAGGUAAAAAGCACUGAGCAAGCAAGACUUCCCACUAUCGAACCAACAGGCACAAGGGAACACAGUGCUGCAAAGGAGACAGAAACAGGGGCAGGAGAGAAACAUAUGACCUUUAGGAAGAAGAGAAGCAUGACACAGCUGCGCUUGCAACUCAAAAGCAGAUGGGUACAACAGACACAGAUGUGUUUCUCCCAAAAAGGGAAAAUCACCACUCCCCCGACAUAGGCAAGGCUAUCUCAGAGAAAGGGACAGACAAUCCAAAGCUGCGAACUGCUGUUGCUGAGCCUGAAGGAUGUUCACAAAGGCCACAUCAAGCAACACAUCCUAAACCAGAAAUCUCAAGCAAGCUUUCUGCUUCCUCCAGCCCCCGAAUGACUUGAGAGUCACUAUUAACUCAACCUGCUUUUUAUGUCUCUACUCAACAAAAUGUAGUGAUAACAUUGCCUGAAGAAUUUCUGAAGAAAAUGAAUUCAACCUGAGAUGGACCCAAGAUUGUGAAUGACUUACAAUGUCUUCCUGGCGGAUGAAGGCAAAGUCUAAUGUUACUAAUAUUAUGAUAUAGAGACCUUGGAGUUUAUACCGGACAUAAAAUACUCUGCUGCGUUUACCACUGGGAUAUGCAAAUUCGGAGCAGCAAAGAGGGGUUUCAAAACACACCCGCUUUCUGCAGAAUCAGUGGCACAUAAGCAUUUGGACAGCAUAUGCAGAUGGCCCAAAUAAGCCUCAUCCUUUACCAUAAAGUUUUAGAUUGAUCUCUCUUUAUUCCUUUCUGUUGUAUGUUGAUUUUCCCCUAACCCCUCCAAAAAAACUAUUAACAGUAGAGAAACUCAAUAAAAUAUUCUGCAAAGCAUACUUCCCUUACUAUUCUCUUCAAUGGACUUCAAAUUGUCCUGUGGUUUGAGAUUCUUUCUUCUACAAUCACUAUCAAUUCUAAAAUAAUUUAAACUUCCAAAUGAGACAAAAAGCAUAGAGAAUAGUAAAACUCAAGCAGCUACUCCUAAAACAAAAAUCAGAACAGUCUCACUGGCU